UUGGAGGGCAAGUCUGGUGCCAGCAGCCGCGGUAAUUCCAGCUCCAAUAGCGUGUAUUAAAGUUGUUGCAGUUAAAAAGCUCGUAGUUGAAUUUCGGGAUCAGAUUGUUGGUCGUGCCUCGGUACGCACUGGCAUUAUUGGUUCCUACCUUCUGAAGAACCGCGAUGUCAUUAAUUUGGUGUCGUGGGGAAUCAGGACUGUUACUUUGAAAAAAUUAGAGUGUUUAAAGCAGGC
This 234-nucleotide ribosomal RNA is filed under the name uncultured Glomus. RNAcentral describes it as "partial small subunit ribosomal RNA". It matches the Rfam family "Eukaryotic small subunit ribosomal RNA", at positions 548 to 785 of the family's 1831-position model. Lineage: Eukaryota; Fungi; Glomeromycota; Glomeromycetes; Glomerales; Glomeraceae. The record is from RNAcentral.